GACGAACGCUGGCGGCGUGCUUAACACAUGCAAGUCGAACGGAAAGGCCCUGCUUUUGUGGGGUGCUCGAGUGGCGGACGGGUGAGUAACACGUGAGUAACCUGCCCUUGACUUUGGGAUAACUUCAGGAAACUGGGGCUAAUACCGGAUAGGAGCUCCUGCUGCAUGGUGGGUGUUGGAAAGUUUCGGCGGUUGGGGAUGGACUCGCGGCUUAUCAGCUUGUUGGUGGGGUAGUGGCUUACCAAGGCUUUGACGGGUAGCCGGCCUGAGAGGGUGACCGGCCACAUGGGGACUGAGAUACGGCCCAGACUCCUACGGGAGGCAGCAGUGGGGAAUAUUGCACAAUGGGCGGAAGCCUGAUGCAGAAACGCCGCGUGCGGGAUGACGGCCUUCGGGUUGUAAACCGCUGUAGCCUGUGACGAAGCGUGAGUGACGGUAAUGGGUAAAGAAGCACCGGCUAACUACGUG
Molecule: ribosomal RNA, 468 nt
Filed under: uncultured bacterium
Lineage: Bacteria
Description: partial 16S ribosomal RNA
Rfam family: Bacterial small subunit ribosomal RNA
Source: RNAcentral